GGGCCCGCACAAGCGGUGGAGCAUGUGGUUUAAUUCGAUGAUACGCGAGGAACCUUACCAGGACUUAAAUGUAAGUUGCAUGAUUCAGAAAUGAAUCUUUCUUCGGACUACUUACAAGGUGCUGCAUGGUUGUCGUCAGCUCGUGCCGUGAGGUGUCAGGUUAAGUCCUAUAACGAGCGCAACCCCUAUCGUUAGUUGCCAUCAAGUAAAGUUGGGAACUCUAGCGAAACUGCCGGUGCAAACCGAGAGGAAGGUGGGGAUGACGUCAAAUCAUCACGGCCCUUACGUUCUGGGCUACACACGUGCUACAAUGGUCGGUACAGAAAGCAGCCACUAUGCGAAUAGGAGCUAAUCUUUAAAACCGAUCUCAGUUCGGAUCGCAGUCUGCAACUCGACUGCGUGAAGCUGGAAUCGCUAGUAA
This 421-nucleotide ribosomal RNA is filed under the name uncultured bacterium. RNAcentral's name for it is "bacterial SSU rRNA". It matches the Rfam family "Bacterial small subunit ribosomal RNA", at positions 917 to 1341 of the family's 1533-position model. The record is from RNAcentral.